Carassius gibelio (silver crucian carp) is the source of this 1132-nucleotide long non-coding RNA. RefSeq lists it as uncharacterized. The transcript is spliced from 2 exons. Lineage: Eukaryota; Metazoa; Chordata; Actinopteri; Cypriniformes; Cyprinidae. The record is from RefSeq and is a predicted model, not a curated record.
GAUCAUAUUCCCGGACGAGACAGACUUGUUACGUAUUUGACGAGCCAGCGUCUGUAAAUUCUGUUUAGUAUGGGUCGCUCUGUCCUGGUGCUCACUAUCACUGCGUCCACUUUUGGACGGCCUAAUGUUCGGCCAUGAGCUCGGAAUAAUAUCCGGAGCUCUGCCGCAGCUUCGAGCUCAGUUCUUUCUGGGUUGUGUCCAGCAGUAAGCCGUGGUUAGAGCUCUUCUGAUCAGAUCAUUGUCAGCAUCUGUGAUUAAUGGCUGGCUGGCUGAUUGAUGGUCAUGACAGGAAGACAUCCAGUAAUCUCCACAUCCUGGGAGGCACCAUUAUCUCUUUUUUGGCACUGGUGGUUGGUGUAGGGCCAUCAUUAGUUUUGCAGUGAGCAUUACUUCCAUGAGCUGCAUCUUUGUCUCGGAGAAGGUUUCUCCCGACACAGAGGGUUGAUGGUUACCCUGUACGAAGGUGGAAUUACAGUUGGGAACUUGUUGCGCACUCAACUAUGCUUUCUCUGGUGUCCAAGCAGGAUGGAGGUACGUGUUUGGACUUGCUAUUAUACCAUCUCUCAUGCAGUUGGUGUCCACUACGAUUUUCCUUUGGAGUAAAGCAGUUUGGUCAGAAGGAACUGGAAUAGUAAUGGACUCUGACUUGUGCUUGAUGCAAUUCAGCAAUAUCUGACAACAUCAAGCCAGUGCAUCAAAAUCUGAGGAAUUCUAUAUCAGAGAGUUCAUUUGACAAGCACAACAACAUGAAGCAGAAAGUUAUGAAACCCCCCUGCUGACCAUCAAUACGGAUCAAUCUGUUCUCUGGAUAAUUUUGUUCAGUGUUAUAAUGAUAAUGGCUAUCUAUUUCUGAAACUACUGAACUAUGAUUCAUAUGGUUGGUUUACAUGCAUGUUUUAUUUACUAGUGAUAAAUCUCUAUGAAAUAUUGAAAUACUUUUGUAAUUAUGAUUUGGAAUAAGUAUACAUUAACACCUGACUCUCAUUUUAUGGUUUUUGCAGUGUGCGAUAAAAUCAAUGUGUCCGGAGCACAUUAAAAAUGUACAAUUUAAAUUAUUGAAACAUUGUUUAAACGAUGUGUGACGAGCUGUGGAAUUGUGCACAGAACAAAUAAACAACGAUAUAGAGAAAAA